GAGGAGUAUAGUCUGAGGGCAAAGCGGAGUAUAAAGACAACGCAUUGUGUCAGAUUUUUUUUUUUUUUUUCAUUUUAAUGUUAAUUCUGAUAAUCGCAUCAUAAGAAAUAACGGUCAUAUUGGAGUUAAGCUUUGUGGCAUGCUUUAGGACCCCAAGACACUGUUUAUGCGCUCAGGAUAGUUAUGGAAAAUUCUGGUUCUCAUCAGAGCCAAGGCAUUUUCUUUUGUUUUCUGUUUAACUCCUCUGAUUAGUUUGACAGGAAAAACAAUAUUUAUAGGGAAAGGAAGUAUCAAACCUCAGCGCAGCCUGUGUGUGUGUGUGUGUGUGUGUGUGUGUGUGUGUGUGUGUGUGUGUGUGUGUGUGUGUGUGUGUGUGUGUGUACGUCUGUGUAUAUCUGUUCCUGCUGGAUGAAAGCUACCAGAAGCUGGAGCUGCAGAUUUUCUUCGAACUGGAGCAGGUCCAGGGAGAACCAUUUUAGGUAUGAUUUGAUAAAACAACCACAACAAAAUGGAGAACAAAAGGUGGAGAAAACCAAACUGGACAGAGGAGCAGAGCCUGGGAUCACAAAGAGGAACAAAGAGGCAGACCAGCACCAGCCUGGAAUGUGAGCAGCUCUGGUACCUGCUGCAAUCAGAAGCUAGAGAGUAGAUAGCAGAACACCUGUUAACUUCUCCACAGACAUGUGGGUGUAGAUGACGAUUUAGGCUAUGGCUGCUGACGUCAUCAUGUACAAUACAACAAAUACUUAUUCACCUCAUUUACAUCUUCCUUCUGUGUAUAUAGUGUUUAGAUUAUUGUACUGUGUCUUGUCUACAGUGUGUAUUUAUUUAUAUAUAUUUAUUUCAACUCUGUUGUUUUCAAAUAUUUAUUUUUGAAAGCAUUAUACAGUCUGAAAAUGUUUAAAUAAUUCUGUACUAUAUCAUUUGUAAAUAUUUUCACUUAUAUUCAGUUAUUCUAUAUUGUUUCUAUUAUUUAUUUCUCCUUCCUAAUAUUACCUUAUAAGAGGUGCACCUUUAAUCUGUCCUGCCACUGAAACUAUUUAAUUUUCCCCUAAGGGGAUGAUAAAGUUUAUCUUAUCUCUAUAUAUUAAUAAUUUUAUGAUUGUUAUUGAAGUUUAUGUGCUCAUUUAUAUGACUGUUCAGGGGUGGAACCCUGCACAAUUGAGCUGGUAGUGUCUUAUUAACUCACUGUUGUCCAUUGUACAGAGAAUAUCUCUCCUAUCUCUCUGCCUUUCCACCAUCUUCCCUGCUUAAGAAACUCUUAGGCUCUGAAAUAAUCACUUUUUAAAUGCUUAUUGUGACAGGAAACUGACACUGCACGUCACCCUGAAUGCACCAGCCCCAUGGUGCCAAAUUGUGGGGGCAUCAUCCUAAAUUUAACUUAACUUAAAUUUCAACUUAAAUUUACUAUAACUGCUAUUAAAGUCCAGGGCCCGUAUUCUCAAAGAUUCUCAGAGUCUUCUUAGAGAGAUCCUAACUUAGCCUAAAAAUUCCUGCUAAGGAGUCUGAGCUUAAGAGCGAUUCAACUGCUGAGAGCGACGCUGCCCAAAGAGACGACAGAAAUUCCUAUCUUAGUGAGAACGUGUGGUUGACUUCAUUGCUAGGUGUGACGCUAUUGUCUAAGAGUCGUGAUUGGUUGUUGCAAAAAUAAAAAUAUAAAACAAAAUGCACUCCUAGUAUUAGAGAGAAAUUAACUGAUCAUAGAAUUUAGACAAGAUUUAGAAAUGUGUAAGUCAUAAUAAUGAAACUUAGUAUACUUAAAUCAGUUGUCAAACAGUAUCAAAAUGUUUGAACGCACCUUAUUUACAUGCUCAUCAUUAUUUUUGAAUGUGAGCAGCUCUGGUAUCUGCUGCAAUCAGAAGCUAGAGAGGAGAUGCAGCACACCAGAGAACUUCUCCACAGAUGGGGAGCUUGUAGAUGACCAUUUAGGCUCAGGCUGCUGACAUAAUCAUGUAUAAUACAUCAAAUACUUAUUCACCUCAUUUACAUCUUCCUUCUAUGUCCACAGUGUUUAGAUUAUUUUACUUAAUCUUCUGUAGAGUUUGCAUUUAUAUAUAUAUAUAUUGUUUUUUUUUGUUUGUUUUAUUCAACUUCUUAACAUUUUUUCAAAUGUAUUUUUGAAAACAUUUUUUAGUCUGUAAAUGAUAUUUAAAUUCUUCUGUACAAUACUGUUUGUAGAUUUAUUCACUCUUUAUUCAUGGUUAUUCAUUAUUGUUUGUAUCAUUUAUUUAUCCCUUCUAAUAUUGCCUUACUAGAGGUGCACCUUUACCCUGUCCUGCUGCUGAAACUGUUUAAUUUCCCCCUAGAGGGAUGAUAACGUUUAUCUUAUCUCUAUAUUAAUAAUUGUAUGAUUGUUACUGAAGUUUAUGUAUUCAUUUACUCGACUGUCUAGUGGGCUGAUCCUUGCAUCUUAUUAUUUCACAGUUGUUCAUUGUACAGGGAAUAUGUCUUCUGUCUCUUGGUCAUUCCACCAUCUUCUCUGCUUGAGACAUUCUUAAGCUCACUAAGAGUCCUCCUCACGACUCUUAACAUUUGCUCACUUUAAAAGCUCUCUUUAGGUCUAAGGUGUUUUGUGAAUAACUUUUAUCUAAAUAUCGAAAUUUCUAAGAAAAAUCUUAGAAUUUAAGAAAUUCUGAGAUUUUUCUUAAAAUUAGGUCACUAAGAGCUACUUUUAGUCUCAGGUUUCUUUGUGAAUACACGCCCAGAUCUAACUUCAACUGAGAAUCUGUAAGACUUGAAAAUAAAUUUUCACAAAUGCUCUCCAUCCAAUCUGACUUGAGCUUUAACUGGAAUGGGCAAAAAAUGUAAGUCUCUUGAUGUGUAGAGGUUUUUGCUGUAAUAACAGUAAAAGGUGGCCUUUAAGGUAUUAAUCUAGGAUCUGCAUGCAGAUUCACAUCACAAUUUGUAAAUAUUUAUUUGUAAAGAUGUGAAAACAAUAUGUCAUUUGACUUCUGCUUUAUAACAUAACAUAACAUAACUAACAUAAUAAAAUAAAGUGAGGUUUGUGGUUGUAAUGUAAAAUAUUGAGAAAAAGGUCAAGGGGUUUGAAUACUUCCAAAAGGCAAUGUAGGCCUUCUGAAGAUAUACAUAUUCACACUAAUAAUGAGAGUUGUAAAUUUGAACAGACAGAUGAAACCUAAUAACUAAUAUGGGCUUUCAAGCAGAAUGAAGAUCGCCAGAAAGCCUGUUUCUACAUAAGCCUUUUUUGACUAACAUCCCUGAACUGGUAGGAAACCAAUCACCAAAAUGAGAAUGAUACUUGAUUUCACAAUCGUACAAAAGCCAAAAAGGUUGUCAACCAUGAAUGAACUCUUUAUUUUAAGACACAGCAUGCUCUGUGCUCCUAAACCAGCACCAACCUCACGCUCUGGCUCCAACAAAGCAGCACAUCAUCUGAUAAUUGUGUGAAUGUGGAGGCUAAUUUGCAUUACCGGUGGGACUGAUUCUCUCAGAUGUACGGCACCUAGAUUUAUUCAGUAUUCAGUCUAAUUUCAAACAGCCAAAUGGGAACAACAGCCUUGGCUUGAUUUCUUUUAAGCCUCUAAUCUCUCUUUCCUCUUAAUUUAGCCGGGAGCUUCAAUCACAGUUCCUUUACAAAUCUGACCGAGUGGGUGUUCAUGUGUGAGACUUCUAUCCUAUGAAAAUCUCAUAAUUCCAUACUGGUGCACUUCGUGGUUAAUUUCAAACUAAAACUAAUCUCAUUCUGCAUGCAUUACACAAGUUUUUUACUGUACCUUCAUAAAUUUCACUGCUUGCUUCUCUUUAAGGUUUUAUGUGAUAUGCUUCUCACCAGAUGAGUCUUUUGUUUGUUGCCUAUUUGAGACAUCACAGAUGUUGUCACCUUCUGUUAAGAAACCAUAAAAAUAGAAUUUUUUUAGCACUUCUUAACUGGUGCAAUUCUUCAUUUUGUUUUUCAUCUAAGCUCUAGCACAACGCUCUUAUCAAUUCAUUUUUGAUAAGAUUUAUUUUGUGUUCAUACCCUGUACCAGGACUCUCCACCUAGUAGACAUAGAGAAUAGCCUCACUCAAAAUGUUUUAAAUCAUCUUUAUCAAUGAAACAAAUGUGAUAUUCAGUUUUAAAAACAUGUACAAAGGAUAUUUCUGCAAGUCCAGGUAGACAACAUGCAUUUACAUUUUGAAUGUGACAAACUAAUAGUGGCUGAAAAUUAAAGAAAAUAGAAUGGCAAUGGCAAAAUGAACUCACUUUUUACCAUUCUUUGAUUUUUUUUAAUAUAAUUUAUAAAAAUGUACUUGUCCUAAGCUUCAUAGCAUCUACCACUGUACAUGGACUCUUCACAUACCAACAUUUCCUUAUUGCCUUGCUCAUUACUGUUAGAAAGGUGUUGUCUUAUUAGUUCAUUCCUUUGUAUUAAGUUUAGAAUUAUUCUUGCUAAGUCUGCUAGAUUUUACUGCUGGGUUUCUUUGUAUCUCAGUUAAGCUUGUGUUAAUUACUCUCUCUCCCUGAGCUUCCCUGCUUUCCUUCUGCCUCAGCUGUUACUCAUUAUCUCCUGAUUGCCUCAUCUGCAUCCUAUGUCAUUCUCCACACUUCCCUCAGUAUUAAACUUUUCAAAGUUUAUUGCUGGUUUUCUAUUGGACUGCCGAAUGUUCCAUUGCUCUGUUUCACUGCCUGUUUCAAUCUUUGUUGCUGGCUUUGCUCCCAGACCUGUCCUAAUUGUGAUUCCCCCUGUAAGUCUCCUUUGUUAUUUGUUAAAAAACACUGAUGUAAUUCAGUCUUCACUUGGAUCCUUCACAAACCUACACAAACAUGACAGCUAAACAAAAAGCAAAUAAGAGCCAUUGAAGAAGUAAAUGAUAUACCAGUCGAUACAAACAUCUUGGGUACAUAUAUUCAUAUGUUGACAUAGCUUGGUCUCGAGCUCUCCUUUGGUGGCAACUCUUUAGGUUACCCUGUAUCUUUUCUACUGUACUUCAGCAUCCUCAAAUUAGCGUCACAAGAUCUAUAUGCCAAUCUUUCCUAUUCUGAGAGAAUUUAAUAGGCCCUGUAGGUCAACUACCCUACCUUUAGGUCUUUAUUUCAUGCACUGUAUUUCCACCUUACAAAAUCAAAACUCAAACCUACAAAAAAAAUAUUCAAAUGCACAAUCUAAAAACAAAAAUAUAUUUUUCACUGCAGAAACAGUUGUUGAUUUUUUUUUUAUCAAGAACAUUCUGUUCACAGUAAUGGUCAAUGUUUCAGGUUAAAUAUACAGUUGAGAGCAUAAAUCAUUCAUAUCCAUUUCAAUCAAUCAUAGUUUGAUUCUGAUAGGAUAUGAGAGAAGCAUUUCUGAAAAUAUAACAAAAUAAGGUAAAAGAAUUGUCAGUUUUGAAAAAUAUAUUUAUCUGUUUUUGAUUUUUUUUUACAUUUUAUUUUAAAAAUAGCAUAAAAUUGUUUAUACCCUUCUUAAUAAUAGGUGAAAAUAUCUCUUUUGGCAUUGUAGCAAUCAAACCCUUCUUAUCAUCACUGAUCAGCUUGUUGCAUGUUUUCACUGGUAUUUUGACAAUUUCUCUUUGGUAAUGAGCUCCAAGUCUCUGAGGGUGAAAGGCCUCCUGGCCAUCACCCUAAUCUUUAGCUCCCUUUCCAGAUCUCUGUUAGACUCAAGACCCUGGCUGGGCUGCUCCUAAAUAAUAAUAAUACAGCCAGAAGAAACAAGUUGGUAAAAUAAAAAAAUUAUUUUAAGCCUAAAUCUGUCAGGGUUAUGAAUAAUUUUGUCCCUAACUGUGGUCGAUGCAGCAUUAUGUCCACUUAUCAGACAGAUUUUAAUAGCAAUUCUCUCCUGACAAUAAAAUAGCAAUUCAAAGAUUUAACAAUCAUAUUAGUUCCAAGUUGUUAUUUGAUAUUACCAUUAUUUCUGAUAUUCAUAAGGUGCUCUCCGUUUUUGGCUGACUGGAGACCACAAGGCAUUUGAACAGCUUUUCACCGUUGUGACAACUAUGCAUAAAAGGCUUGCAAAAUGCAUUGAAACUGCAUGACUUUUGUUACUUAUAACAAAAUCCAGAAAAUGUCCAACAACACAGUAGUUUUGCAUACUGUUUGUGAUAGAGGGUUUUGACUUGUCUUUUUAUGAAUGUUUAGCUAAAACAGAUGGUUUAAGAGAGUCCUUAUGACUCCAACCACUCCCUCUUUCUCUUUCUUAGGAGGACUUAGUGAAGUCUUAGUGAAGGAAGUUCUUGGGAAUAAUGUUUGUUCUUAUGUCUUUUGAAUAUCUUUUUGUCACAUUUCUUUGAUGUACCCCACCCAACUGCU
Long non-coding RNA from Girardinichthys multiradiatus, 6244 nucleotides. RefSeq lists it as uncharacterized. The record is from RefSeq and is a predicted model, not a curated record. NCBI's taxonomy places the organism in Eukaryota, Metazoa, Chordata, Actinopteri, Cyprinodontiformes, Goodeidae. The transcript is spliced from 3 exons.